RNAcentral lists this ribosomal RNA (253 nucleotides) under uncultured bacterium. RNAcentral's name for it is "partial 16S ribosomal RNA". It matches the Rfam family "Bacterial small subunit ribosomal RNA", at positions 524 to 776 of the family's 1533-position model. The record is from RNAcentral.
UACAGAGGGUGCAAGCGUUGUUCGGAAUUAUUGGGCGUAAAGGGCGCGUAGGCGGUGCUGUAAGUCUGUAGUGAAAUCUCUGGGCUCAACUCAGAGUCUGCUAUAGAAACUGCAGUGCUGGAGUGUGGGAGAGGUGAGUGGAAUUCCCGGUGUAGCGGUGAAAUGCGUAGAUAUUAGGAGGAACACCGGUGGCGAAGGCGCCACUCUGGGCCGAAACUGACGCUGAGGAGCGAAAGCGUGGGUAGCAAACAGG